Trifolium pratense (red clover) is the source of this 1544-nucleotide long non-coding RNA. RefSeq lists it as uncharacterized. The record is from RefSeq and is a predicted model, not a curated record. The transcript is spliced from 7 exons. Lineage: Eukaryota; Viridiplantae; Streptophyta; Magnoliopsida; Fabales; Fabaceae.
GCAUCUCCAUUCUUACCCGUCGGACCACCUUUCUCAAUCUAUGGCACACAUUAUAUUGUAUAUGUGCUUGAUUGUCAUCGAGCAUCGUCGAUAGAAUAUUUAUUGGGAAUGGGUUGUUAUUUGACAUCUCAGACGCCCACUACAAGAAAAAAGGAAUAUAGUGGCGGCCAACUAGCUGCAGUUGGCUAAUAUCCGUCGCCGCUUUCAACAUUCACCGCAGUUCAAACCGGCAGUUCAAACCGCCCCUGUUUGCUUUUAAGAAAACAUAAAUCUGAAUCACGUUUCCCUCUCAACGCAGGUUUUAGGGAUUUAGCACUUCCUUGCCAUCCGCCGCUUUUCCGGUCGUAGCUCCGAUUACUCUCUCUCAACACAGGAGGAGUUAGAAUUAGAAACACAUCGCAAAGAAAAUUCUUCUCUGACUGAUGCUGCAUACACAACAGUUUUUGGAAAAGAACAUCCAGGACGUGUUCUAGGCGUGGGCGUUCUUGUAUCCUUGAAUUCGAUGGAGCAUAUAGUGGAAAUCCUGGAAGGUCUGGAGCAGGAGUUGUGCUGCGUGAUGGGAACCAGGUUCAGCGCUUCAGUCAAGGACUGGGCACUCAGACAAAUAAUUCUGCUGAAUAUCAAGGUUUAAUUUUGUGAUUGAAAGAAGUAGCCAACCAAGGAUAUGAUCGUGUUUAUGUUCGAGGUGACUCUCAGCUUGUUUGCAACCAGUUUGAGGGUUCCUGGAAAGUGAACAACCAGAAUUUAAGUGGCAUGUGUAAUGAGGCUCAGCAGCUGAGGGAUAACUUUAUUCAAAUUGUGUUUUAAUUGGCACAUCUGUCUACUACUAAAGAUCACUAGCAUAUAUCUUUAUUGAAAAUCAUAUAUGAUUCAAAUGUUUGAAUGGUCAAAACCUGUAUGAUUUGAAAUUAAAAAUACUAGUUCCACUACUUUGAAUAGAAAAUCACUAGCAUCAAUGGCAUUAGUCCAUAUAAUUUUACCUCCUUGUUUCAUGAUUUUAACAAAUGUCUGUUUUUUAAUGUUUUAAGGGCCAUAACACUGAAGCUGAUGCUCAAGCAAGUCGGGGUAAAUAUCUCAGAGGUGGUACGAGAGUUUACUUGGUGUUUUCCUUUUCCUAUGUCUCGAUGUUACUUGUUUGAUUAAGAGCAUUAUAGAGACUUUGGUGAAGAUGUAAGGUUCAUGGAUUUAUGUGUCAAAAGGGUACAGGUAGUGUUUUUGUUCGUGGCAGGUCUGCAGUGGGGGUGGUGGUUUGUUGUUCUGUUUUGGCGCUCAAGCUGUUCUUUAUUUGCCUUUCCUUUUGGUCCUACCUGAUGGUGUUAUGUUUUUUUUUUCUUUCUUCUUUCUAUUUGUUGUUUGUAGUCUGUGUUGUUAAAAGGGCCUAUUGUUCUAGGAGGACUUUUUCUUAAUUUUGUUUUUUUGUUUCGGAUGAUAGUUCUGGUUCCUGCAUUUUUAUGUAGGUUGUAUCUUUACUCUCCAAUGUGUAAUCCUUGUACAUAUAGAUGAGUUAUUUUAAUAAUGGGAAAGUAAGACUCAUUUAGUUGGUG